This is a long non-coding RNA of Paramisgurnus dabryanus, 3110 nucleotides long. RefSeq lists it as uncharacterized. The record is from RefSeq and is a predicted model, not a curated record. NCBI's taxonomy places the organism in Eukaryota, Metazoa, Chordata, Actinopteri, Cypriniformes, Cobitidae.
GUUGAGGAGCACACGGUGCUCGUACACAGCAGCUACAUAAGACAGAUAAUCCUCGGCCCGGAUGAGCUGCAGUCCGGUCAGACAGAGUAACACAAACCCGGCGGUACGCAGAACCCGCACCGACAUGACGACUGAUCCGCUCAGGCGAUGAUGCUCCACUGCACUCACUGCGAGGUCCCAGCACAGGAGACACCUGCUCAAAACCCUCCAGAGACCCGGAGCCCGGCAGCUGAAGAACAUCCGGGCAGACCGACGGUGAUGAAGGACAGGAUGACGAUGAAGGGUACGGACAGGAGGACGAGAGCUUGGGAUAGGUGUCAGGAGAGGAGGGAUACGGGCAGCGCAGAUCUACAGGAGCAGAAGUGGAGCUCUGACUGCAGGUGGAUUGUGUCUCUGGGUCAUCUUCUGAUGUAUAACCAUUACAAUUCUCAUCCUCCUCAAUGUUCACAGAGAUCACUGUAGCACAAACACACACAAUACACAAACAUCAUGUUUAAAACUUCACGCCUCUCUCUGAUCCAACCUGCACACCACCCAUAAAAUCAGGCCUGUCCUCCACCUAUGUUGGUAUGCAUGACGUCACUCACUAGAUAUGCCAUCCGACUCCAUUUUAAAGUUGGUGAUGUCGUCAUUAUUGGCCCGGUCGUCUUCGGCCCCGACCCCUCGGCCCCUGGGUCCCAUAGCAGAGAGUCGUCUCCGUGUGUGGAUCUCAUCUGAGAUGGUCUCCAGGUUUUUAAGAGCGGUCCGGUAUUCGCCUUUGGCUUGGGUCAGUUUGGCUUGCCGAUCAUCCACUCGUCUUUUAAGUUGCUGUAGGAGAGGUCACAUAAAUUUAUGAUUAAAAUCUAAUAUGCACGUUAGAUUGUUUUCAGCAGAAAAAAGAAACUGGCGUACCUCGAGCUGUAGGUAAUAUUUCGCCUUCAAUUCAAAGUACGGCCUGCAGAGGGAGAUAAAGAAAUGUUGAAAUAAAUCAAGUCUCUUAGCGUCUCUAUGGCAACAGCAAAACUCUUGGUCAGUAAAGAGGACGACCGCAUUCCAGCUGGAGAAACACAUCUGGAAAACAUUAAAGACGACGAACUACAUCUACAAAUCCACUGACACAGAGCUGAGGCCUGGGGUGGGGCAGGAAAAACAAAACCAUUUCCAUCUCCUAAAAACUGGACUGAGACAUUUUUGGUCUAACAACAUUUCUUUGAGAGAAAAGAAAAAUCUAUGUUUGUUUUCUUAUAAUUUGGUUACACUUUACAAUAAGGUUGUAUUGUUUAGCAUUAGUAAAUGCAACAUGAACUAACAAUAAGUAAUAUAGUUCUUCAGCAUUUAUUCAUCUUUGUUAAUGUUAGUUAUGUCAAUACAAUUGUUCAUGUUAGCUCAUUGUCCACCACUGUUACUUUAGAUUUGACUAAAAGCAUCCAAAAUAAUUCAUAUUUUAUCAUCUUCAGUGACGUCACCCUUUGCCUAUAAUUUGCAAAAUCGUUGUGGCAUUUUAUCAAGCAGAUUCUUGAGGUUUCACCCUGAGAUGCAUUUUAUUAAAGGAGUUCACAUCUAUUUUGGACUCUUAUUGGCUGCUUUUUCUUUCAUAUUCAGUCUAAGGCCUUCAUUUAAAUUUUUUUAAUAUAACUUGCUUUAAAGUUUAAAAUCCCACUGUAUUUAAUCAUUUUAUCACUUAAAAUGCAUCCUCGAACAUCAUAAUAGGUAAAAGUUUUUCUGUGACUAAAUGCUUUAAAACAGCUUGUAUGUAACGCUACACCAUUGCCUCAUUAAGUAUAUGUGGAUCUAUUAAUAUGCAAAUUAGUUCUCGACUCUACUCUUUAUGCUCUCCACUCUUUUCACUUGGAACAUAGAUAUAAAUGUGAAUAGAUGCUACAUUUGGCAGUUUCAGAAACAAAAUUUAUAUGUAAACUGCGCAUUUGCAGUAGUAAUGUUUUAGUACUGAUGUUAACUCAGUCCUCGCCAGCCUUUUUUUUUUGUUGUUGAACAUUUGUCCACUAGCAUUUUAUGUGAUUUUCAUAAACAUUUCAUAAAAUGCCUUUCAGGGAAAAAAAUUCUAAAAAUAUAUAAACAUACAAAUAUUCACCUUAUUUUUCACGACAACAAGGGCGGCGCCAUUUCGCUCAUUUUGUCAACGUUCUUCCGGCCGCAUAGACGAUGAGCAGCUGAGGCAGUGACUGAAGGCGACGUGUUAAGCUUAAAAAGCUCACUCGCGCGCCUUUAUGUUUCUUUCUUACCAAUUUUAAGCCAACUGAGGAACACCCUUAUCCCAAGUAAUGGUUCGACUACGAUGUUCCGGUAACUUUAAACCACGCCGGGUGUUGAAAAGGUGGCCAGUUUCAGAUGCAUUGAUGUUUAGUGAUGCAGUGGACAACUGUGAGGAUGAUACAAUCAACAUGUUCCUAAACUGUGAUGCAGAAACACAAUGGGAGCAUCUAUCCGUCUCUGACCACAACUACACUUUAAAAUCACAACUCAACCUGAAGCAACAUACAUCUGAUAUGGGAAAACAAUGGUGCGGUUUCCCGGACAGGGCUUAUCCUGGUCCCAGGCUAAAAUGCAUAUUUGAGCUACAAUAAUUUAAAAACACCUUUUACUGACAUACCUCAACAUAUAUUAGUGCCAUUGUUUUGUCACAAGAUGCGCACCAGUCUUGUUUUUUUGUAGGAUUUGUUUGUAAAAACUAAAAUGUCCUAAUAUAAUUAAGGCCUAGUCCUGUAAAACCUGUCCGAAAAACUGCUUCAAUGCUUCUGCUUCAUGUGUUGAGCUGGCACAAAUGUACAUAUCUCUGCUGAGAAACAACCAUCUUUGGUUCAGCUUUACACAGGGUUGAUAUUGCAUCCAUUACACAGUCGCCAAGCACUUUACCAGUACAUACACCAACAGCUUCCAGAUAUACGCUUGGGAUCAGCUCCUGAUGACUCCGAUAAAGCGGUGUCUUUAUUUAUUGCAGGGUGGUCUUGCUUUACCAGUUGUAAAGUUACAUUAAACCUUCAUAUGUGAUCAGAUGUCAUGCAGUGAUAUUAAUCAUUUACAGUGUGAUCAGAUGUUGUGCAUUUAUAUUAAACAUUUACAAUGUGAUCAGCUGUUACCUGUCAUGCAGUUAUAUUAAACAUUUACAAUGU